CCUAUUGCUAUCGGGGUGAGACUAAGCCAUGCAAGUUGUGCGCUCCUUAGCCAUGUUUGGAGAGCAGCGUACGGCUCAGUAACACGUAGUCAAUCUGCCCUUAGGACGGGGAUAACCCUGGGAAACUGGGGCUAAUACUCGAUAGAUGGAAGCGCCUGGAAUGGUCUUCCGUUGAAAAGUUUUCGGGAACAUGCUUCCGAAAGCGCUUAAGGAUGAGACUGCGGCCGAUCAGGCUGUUGGUGAGGUAACGGCCCACCAAACCUAUAACCGGUACGGGCCCUGAAAGGGGAAGCCCGGAGAUGGGAACUGAGACAAGGUCCCAGGCCCUACGGGGCGCAGCAGGCGCGAAAACUCCGCAAUGCGCGAAAGCGUGACGGGGUUACCCCGAGUGCCGUCCGUUGAGGAUGGCUUUUCUCUAGUUUAAGAGGCUGGGGGAAUAAAGGGGGGGCAAGUCUGGUGUCAGCCGCCGCGGUAAUACCAGCCCCCUGAGUGAUAGGGACGAUUAUUUAGCCUAAAGCGUCCGUAGCCGGUUUAGUAAGUCUUUCGUUAAAUCUGACGACUCAAUCGCCAGGCCGCGGAAGAUACUUCUAGACUAGAGGGCGGGAGAGGUCGACGGUAGUCCUGGAGUAGGGGUGAAAUCCUAUAAUCCCAGGAGGACCACCAGUGGCGAAGGCGGUCGACUAGAACGCGCCUGACGGUGAUGGACGAAAGCUGGGGGAGCGAACCGGAUUAGACACCCGGGUAGUCCCAGCUGUAAACGAUGCGGGCUAGGUGUUGGUGCAGCUACGUGCUGCUCCAGUGCCGCAGAGAAGUCGUUAAGCCCGCCGCUUGGGAAGUACGGCCGCAAGGCUGAAACUUAAAGGAAUUGGCGGGGGAGCACCACAAUGGGUGAAGCCUGCGGUUCAAUUGGAUUCAACGCCGG
RNAcentral lists this ribosomal RNA (922 nucleotides) under uncultured archaeon. RNAcentral describes it as "bacterial SSU rRNA". It matches the Rfam family "Archaeal small subunit ribosomal RNA", at positions 23 to 921 of the family's 1478-position model. The record is from RNAcentral.